CAGCCGCCGCGGUAAUACGUAGGGCGCAAGCGUUGUCCGGAAUUAUUGGGCGUAAAGAGCUCGUAGGCGGUCUGUCGCGUCUGGUGUGAAAUCCCGAGGCUCAACCUCGGGCUUGCAUCGGGUACGGGCAGACUAGAGUGCGGUAGGGGAGACUGGAAUUCCUGGUGUAGCGGUGGAAUGCGCAGAUAUCAGGAGGAACACCGAUGGCGAAGGCAGGUCUCUGGGCCGCAACUGACGCUGAGGAGCGAAAGCAUGGGGAGCGAACAGGAUUAGAGACCCCCGUAGUCUCUGUCUCUUAUAC
Molecule: ribosomal RNA, 301 nt
Filed under: uncultured bacterium
Lineage: Bacteria
Description: partial 16S ribosomal RNA
Rfam family: Bacterial small subunit ribosomal RNA
Source: RNAcentral